AUGGUUGCUGCAAUCGCUUCGGGUCUACAAUCUGCAGUAGAUUUAAGUGACAUCGACUCUGACCAGAGUGGUGAGGAUGAUCCUCCUUCUCCCAAAGGGAAGGAUACAAAGAAGAAGAAGGCUGAUCGGCUCACUGGCAUGUGUUUUAUGGCUCAUGAGGCUGAUGAGGAGAACGACAACACGGAUGAGGUUGGUUUUGAGGGUUUGGCAAACAAGUGGCUUAUUGACUCUGGGUGUUCACGCCACAUGACUGGUGAUACUAAAUGGUUCGCCUCCCUCUGCAAAGCGUCUGGUGAUGAAAAGAUCACUUUUGGGAAUGAUGCACAGGGUUGCAUUGUGGCCAAAGGAACAGUGCGAGUCAACGAGAACUGUCUUCUCAAGGAUGUAGCCCUUGUAAGUAAGUUGAGUUAUAAUUUGAUUUCAGUUUCACAACUUCUUGAUGAGGGUUUUGAGGUUCGUUUCAAGAAAUCUGCUUCUCGUGUUCUUGACUCUACUGGUGAUCUUGUCUUUGGUAUUUCUCGUGUUGGUAAAAUCUUUGGUGCUGAUUUUGGAGUGCUUUUGUCCUCUGGUCCACGAUGUUUUGUCGCCUCUUUGAACAUGAGCGAGUUUCAGUUGUGGCAUCGUCAUUUGGGGCAUGUUGGUUUUGAUCAUCUGACGCGAAUUGGCAGCCUUGAUCUUUUGUGA
Molecule: ribosomal RNA, 684 nt
Filed under: Triticum aestivum (bread wheat)
Lineage: Eukaryota; Viridiplantae; Streptophyta; Magnoliopsida; Poales; Poaceae
Description: partial small subunit ribosomal RNA
Source: RNAcentral